UCAUAUAUUUAAUAAUCAUAAUUUUCAUGAUUUGAAUUAAAUGACACCUUAAUAAUCAAAUAUAUUUAGCAAUAUCAACAGCUUCACUUUGUAGUUAAUCAAUGUCAAAUCAAAGUAGGAAUACAAUCAGCUAAUGCCAUCGAUCAUUUAUACUUAAUAACCACUAAGUGAAAAACAUACCUUACCCCUAGAAUUUCAAUCCGCACUUUGCGCUGCACUUUGGCGGAAAUUCAUUUUGAAAACAUGCGGCGGCGACAUUUGGCGCCACCUCAACUCAACCCCCCCGACCACCAAAAGGGGCGUAGAUCAAAGGGGUUAGCUUGCUUUUGUGCAUUCGCCGAGCGUAGCGCAAGUCGCGGCACUGUGUAAUGGUCAAUAAAUUACUUAGACAACGCAGAAUUACAAAUCGUUUUGAUUAGCAAUUAAAAUUGCAAAAAAAAAAAACAAAAAAAAAUGCAAAAAGAAGCAAAUGGAAAAACAAAACCAGCUGAGUGCAUCUGGGCCAGGCUAGCCGGCAAAUCUCUUAAUUACUUGGCAGUUUGCGCUCGUAGACGGCAACAGGUGCUUUCCGAACAGCGCUUAUUAACUCAUUAUAAAAGCAUUUCAGUGCAGUUCGAUUUGCUUUUGCUGCAAAGCAUUUCAAUUGCCUCCGACACUCGCACUCGCAUUUCGAAAUGCGUGCUCGGUCGCUGGUGCUUUUGCUUUGCUUUUGCUGUGCUUUUGCCGAUCUUGCUGCCGUGUCCGGCUGCUGCGACCUUCAAUUGCUCUGCCAGCGGAAAGGGUGACUCAAGCGAACAAGUGGCAAAUAACAGGAAAGUCAGUGGAAUUUUCAUUUAAUAGAAACGUCAGAGCUCAAGUAAAUAUAGCACAUAUAGCACUCUCGAGACUAUCAUGGAAUUUAAUAUAGGUUUUUAUGCUUUCAAAGCAAACUUGAGUUUAUAAAGCAAUCUUAAUAGGACUCCACUGGAGUUUAUAAAAACAAAAUUUAAAUAUUUUUAAUUCUUCUCAGUUUAAUUUGAACUCAUAUCGCACUGAUUCACCUCCCUAUAAUAUUUUGUAGCUGCUUCUUGCUCCUCUGCCGCAAACGAACACUUUGUGCAAUGCAAAUUUAAUUUGCUAAAUGAUUUUGCCGGGACGGGCGGAUAUCUGGGAAACUUGUUUUGCUGAGUGUGUUUCUAUAUGUGCAAUGGCGGCAUUUCCACGCUUGUGCGGCAGAUGCAAAUGUCACAAAAGUCAGCCAGUCACCCAGUCAUCGUGGUUGGGUGUGAAAUGAGCUGCACUUGGUCUGUAACGUGCAUAUUAUAUAGGCAAUAGACGUGUUGUCUGCGGCAUUUGGCACAGCGAUGAGGAAUGGAGGCGACCGGAAUGGGAAUAGGAGUUGGGGAGCCAGGAAAACAGAACAGAAUUCAAGUGUCAAAGUGACAGUUUUGAAAUUGAUUGCAGCAGCAGCAGCGACAAUUGUGUGUGCGUUUGGCUGAUAAAUAAGGCAGCUUUAAACCGACUUAACCGAGACCAUUGGGGUUAUCUAAUGGAGCCAGAGAUAGACAACCCAGAUAGAAUACCCCAGCUCCAUAUCAAUAUCAACUUGUUCAGAUGAUUGACAGGCGACACGUGGUGGUCAGCACCCUGGAGUUCAUGCGCAUUCGAUUAUCGCGAUCACGUCGCCAGCUGUGGCAUAAACGAUAUUUGCCCCAUAGACCCUACCUAGCCCAUUUUCCGUUCUGCCGAUGACAACGGAAUAUAAAUUAGAGGUGGAAAAUGGCAUAAAUUCUUGGCAUGCCUACGCGUAUGAGAAAUGAAUCGAUACGAAUCAACGAGACCCAUAAGCAAAAUCCAAGUAAAACCAGGCAAAAACCGAAAAUUAUUAGAAGCACGGGACGCCGCCUGUCAAAUAUCGCCAAACAAAUUGACAGCGAGGGGAGUGCGAAACUAACGAACGUUUCGAAUCCAACAGAACAGGAAAAUAAAGAAAAUUUAUGAUCGAGUUCACCAACGAGAGCAAAAGGUGACCACCAUGCUCCAAACACAUGGGAACGAGCCAAUUCCGAACUUCAGCAAAAAA
Molecule: long non-coding RNA, 2062 nt
Organism: Drosophila simulans
Lineage: Eukaryota; Metazoa; Arthropoda; Insecta; Diptera; Drosophilidae
Exons: 3
Source: RefSeq, a predicted model, not a curated record